GCGUUGUCCGGAAUUAUUGGGCGUAAAGAGCUCGUAGGCGGUUUGUUACGUCGGCUGUGAAAACCUGGGGCUCAACUCCGGGCCUGCAACCGAUACGGGCAGACUAGAGUUCGGCAGGGGAGACUGGAAUUCCUGGUGUAGCGGUGAAAUGCGCAGAUAUCAGGAGGAACACCGGUGGCGAAGGCGGGUCUCUGGGCCGAUACUGACGCUGAGGAGCGAAAGCGUG
Molecule: ribosomal RNA, 226 nt
Filed under: uncultured bacterium
Lineage: Bacteria
Description: partial 16S ribosomal RNA
Rfam family: Bacterial small subunit ribosomal RNA
Source: RNAcentral